This 468-nucleotide ribosomal RNA is filed under the name uncultured bacterium. RNAcentral's name for it is "partial 16S ribosomal RNA". It matches the Rfam family "Bacterial small subunit ribosomal RNA", at positions 34 to 507 of the family's 1533-position model. The record is from RNAcentral.
CCCGCCCGCUGGCGGCGUGCUUAGCACAUGCAAGUCGAACGGAACGGUCCUGCUUAUGUGGGGUGCUCGAGUGGCGAACGGGUGAGUAACACGUGAGUUACCAGCCAUUGCCUUUGGGAUAACCUCAGGAAACUGGGGCUCAUAGCGGCAAGGAGCUCUCGCCGCAGGGUGGGGGUUGGAAAGUUUAGGCGGUUGGGGAUGGACUCGCGGCUCAUCAGGUUGUUGGUGGGGUAGUGGCUUAGCAAGGCCUUGACGGGUAGCCUGGCUGAGAGGGUGACCGGCCACGUUGGGACUGAAAUGCGGCCCAGACUCCUACGGGAGGCAGCGCUGGGGAAUAUUGCACUAUGGGCUGAACCCAAAUGCAGCAACGCCGCGUGCGGUAUGACGGCAAGCCGUUUGGAAUCCGCUUUCGCCUUUCACGAAGCGUUAGUGACAGUAAUGGGUAAAUAAGCACCGGCUAACUACGUG